UUUUGGGGGAAAAACACCCACUCCCACCCCGUGUUAACUGAACCCUAGCCUCCCACUAAUCAACUUCUCUCUCAUCAAUUCGUAUUCUCGAAAAAUCACAGAUCCAUCAACUGAUUUCAACCACAGAUCGAGGGCUCUUUGGUUCCUAUUCGCGUUUUCCCUACGUUUGAAGCUUAUCUUGCUGAUGUAACUUGUAAUUUUGUGUAUUCCGCUGUUAAUUUGCGAUAUCAAAUUAUGUUUUAUAUCUUCGUUUUUAAUCCUUCCUCUUCGUAGAUCUAUUGUUCAAUUCUAGGGAUUUUAAUUCAUUAUUUGGCAAGAUUGGUUUCGUUUUUUAUUUGGGUAAUUUAUUGGUUUUUUUAUAACUAUUUUGUUACUAGAUUGAAGAUUUGGAAGGUAGCUUGGGAAAUCAUUAACCGUGUUUGGUUGAGGUAAUGAAAUUUAUUAUUAAAUAUUCGAGUUUAAUUCAGAUUUGUGUAUUUAUAGUUUAUCUGGUCAAUGGUUCCUGAUGAUAUCAAGGAAAAGGCCAACAAACAAGAGAAGGCUUCAGUCAUUGAUGUCACUCAGUUCGGUUUUUUUUAAGGUUCUUGGUAAGGAUGUUCUGCCUAAUUCUCAUCUUGUUGUUAUUUAGGGUAAGUUUAUUUCUAAAAUUGCUGAAGAGAAGAUCAAGGCCGGAGAACGGUGGGGUUGUGCUUUUCGAUCACUGCCUAAGUGUUCUUUAUUUUUAGAUAUUACAAUUUUGGUUAUAUAUUUGUGUUAGGAGGAACAUUUAUAUUCUUUUUGAUCUAUAUCUGGGAUUUGCUUUUGUUGUUCUUAAUUCAUUCCAUUAAAUGAUAUGAACUAGUUUUCAGCAAAUUUGGUUUUUAUAUUUAUGUUAAAUCAGAUAUUUGGGAUGUUCAAAUUGUCUUCUUUUAAUUUGAUUGGAUGAUGCUUUAUGGUCUUUUAAGUUUGAAUUGAAUCUUCUUUGGGUGUCCAAAAACAGUAACAUAUGGGCAUUAUUUACAGCAAUUUGUUGUCUUGAGACUCAAGUGAGAUUGAAGUGAAGCUUUAGUGGAAGGCAAUUUUUCUGUCUCCUUGUAUUUUGUCAAUGAAUAUGGGUUCAUUUAUUGGUUUAAUGAAAUGAAUUUCAUAGUUUGACCAUAUUUGGCUUAAAUUUUAUGGCCAUUAGCACCACAUGAUUCCCAAUAGCGAAAUUACGGUCAUAUUCUAUAGUAAUUGAGUUCAUUAAGCUGCCUGGGCUUAACAAUUGUUUGAUAUUCUCUGUACGAUGUUACUGAAUUUGCAGAUAUGAGAAGAAUAUCUUUCGUUUCAGUUUUUCAAUAUGUGUACCGAUUUAUUCAAUUAUUAUUACUAGCUUCUUUCAGAUUUUUUUUUUCCAUCUUUAGGGUUUUAUCUGAGGAUUUCAUGUGUUCACUACAACAAAACACGCUAAUUCUCGACGACAUGAGCUCGACGCGAGGGAUUACCUCUGUUCCAGGCCUGCCAGCUAUGGAGAUGACCAAGCGGCUCAACAUCAUGAACUUGCUCUUCCCACAAGGGAUUGAAUGAAUACACUGGAGAUCAAGGAAAAUUCGACAGCCAAUGUACCAAGGCCCAACCCUCAAGGUCUUAUCACGUGUACCAUCAGGACAACAAAUUCUGAUCCAAUGAUAACCCUCAAGAUUCUGAUGAGGCAUUGAGAGAGCAUUGACUAAUGCGAUUAAUUUGAUGAUACUAGAUCUUGGAUGUAAUUGAGUUUGGAAAUUUUUACAGCAUCACUCUAGCUAGCGUGUUUUGUAAAUUAUGUUCAGAGGCUGCAAGAUAGGAUUGUGUGCUUCAAGAGUACUUGGUUGAGCUAGUUUAAUGACCAAGUGAUCCUUGAACAACAUCUCCUAGUUCUGUAGGUCUAUUCCUCAUUUUCUACUUAUUUGAUUGAUUUUUCUUAAUCUAUUUGUUAAAGUCGGUUUGAAUAUGAGUGCAUAAACUAUCAGAGUGGUGGAAAAGAAGCUCGAGACUCCUAAAAUCAAUCUCACAUAUCCGGUUCUAACAGCUUUGCGAACCAGCAAGCUUAUUAUGUAUGAAUCAUGAAUUUAGCCCUAUAAAUUACACUACAAAAUGUACUAUAAAAUUGGGUGAAAGAGUAUAAAUGGACUCACAAUGCUUUCUUUUACUCAUAGAUUUUGUGUUUGUUAAAUUAUGCAUCUUAUCAAAUUUUCUAUAGUGCUUUUUACAUUGCUACUCAUGUAUAGGAAGACAAUCAUAGAGAAAAAAUGAAUUUAUUAUCCCAUUGGAUAAAAUCUCAUACGGGUAAGGACGAAACCUUUCUGUUGUGGUAUGAGUCCAAACUUAGUCGACUUAUUAAGCUAUUUUUUAGUGAAAAAGCUAGGUGUCAUUGAUACCACUCUUAGCUUGAGGGGGGUGUAGAUCCAGUCCAUAACUCUGUCAAUAAAAGCAAGACCUCGUAAUAAGUUUAAUCUGUAAGCUAGCCUGAAAAUGAAGUCUUCUGAUAACUUUUCGGUGUUCUCUUUAUUGUAUAAGCAAAUAGUACUAUAGAAUGGUUCUGCAAAUUCAUGAAGUUCUAAAGUUAAAACGAUGGGAUAAUAAUAUGCUAUGCAAUACAAGAUGUAUGCUAAAUUAUAACUUUUUAUUUCAUUGAAAAAACAAAGUGGUAUUCUACCGCAAUGGUUACCAAACUCCACAAAACCUGAACGACCCCUUUUAUUUAUCAUAUACAUGUCUGGUUGUUGAUUCUUGUUUUUGUUAUGGAUGCAUAAUAUUGGAGUUGUUAUUGUAGCUUAAAACUAAGUGCUGGCACCAAAUAUGAGUUAUGCUCUUCCACUUUUAUUCCUUGUAAAAAUUUACAGGUUCUGCUCUACCUGAUAUGGUUGUGCUAUUUUCGAAAUAGUCUAAGCAUUAGAA
Molecule: long non-coding RNA, 2895 nt
Organism: Spinacia oleracea (spinach)
Lineage: Eukaryota; Viridiplantae; Streptophyta; Magnoliopsida; Caryophyllales; Amaranthaceae
Exons: 5
Source: RefSeq, a predicted model, not a curated record